AAAUAUUAUGUACCUUCGUUCAUAUUUUAUCAUUAAAUGUAAUGGACUUACACACUUCUUAAUUUUGCUCUGCUCAACCAGUUCAUCAAUUGGAUUAAUUGGGGAACAUGUAUGUCUAAGUAAAAAGAAUGAAGAAUCCUGUUGUACAGACUACGAAGAAAGAAAUAAUAUGUGUGUUGAGUGCAGACCUGGAUUCAGAGGGGAUAACUGCAGUUUGAGAUGUCCA
Long non-coding RNA from Saccostrea cuccullata (small rock oyster), 226 nucleotides. RefSeq lists it as uncharacterized. The transcript is spliced from 3 exons. The record is from RefSeq and is a predicted model, not a curated record. Lineage: Eukaryota; Metazoa; Mollusca; Bivalvia; Ostreida; Ostreidae.